Molecule: non-coding RNA, 28 nt
Filed under: Homo sapiens (human)
Lineage: Eukaryota; Metazoa; Chordata; Mammalia; Primates; Hominidae
Source: RNAcentral
UAAUAUUGUUGAGGUGUUACUUUUCCCC